UUUGCCCCCUUAAAUGUCCCGCUUAUAUUUCAGUGCGUAUCCAUUCACAGUGACGCAAUAUUUUUUCCUUUGCGGUUGCACUUGAUAAAAAGACAAAUAAUAAUGAAUAAUUUCAUAAAUAAUGGGUUUAAGAGCUUAUCGGACCCAGUGGCUGCAACUGCGUGCCCUUAUCUCUCCACACCACAUUGCGCCUGUGUUCCGCUUGCUCCCCAUACUAAGCGCCACACUGGACGUGAUGUGGAAUUAUAUAGACCUCACUUCCAGCUUCCACACAGCACUUAGUGGAUCUAAAACCUCAGACAUGGGUGACCCUCGACAAAAUGGCUCCACACACAGGCCUCCUCUAUCAACAACACUCCGGCAAUGAUUAUCCUCAAUCACUUUCAAUUGUUGCUUGUGUUUGCUCAAAAGAACAACAAUCCAUAUAUUCAAAGAAUUCUAUAGGCUAGUUAAUUGGAUGAUAUAUUAAUGAUAAUUUAAUGUUGAUUCGGCUACUAUAAGCAAUAGGCUAUCCUAAACACACGUUUCAUAUGUUCGUCAGUACGCCCAGUCUAAUAACCCUAUUAGCCUUUCAUCGUUAUAGGCUAGUGUAAUACUGUACAAAUGUGUGGAGCCCGACCCUAUUCAUUAGUUAUAACCUAUAAUAAUCAGGGAGGUACGAAAUGUAGGCCUACACUAUAUUUUUUCCAUUACGUUUUAUGGACAAGAUCUAUACUAACCAAGCAUGUAGGCUAGUAGUGUUUGUAGAAUUAACCGACAGCAAUUAUUUUUUUUAUAAAAAUAUAUAUUUUUAUAGUAGCCUUCCAAAGAAAUAAAACAAAAAACAAGUAUAAAAAACAGGUAGCCUAAACAAGGGACGAAUAUUGCAAUGUAACAAAUUAGUUUGGUAGUCUAUCCUAUAUAUAGGCGGCUGUUAUAUAACGAUAUUGAUACACGGUGAAAUACAUAGGCUGAUUAAAUGGAUGUCUACGUAAUGAUAACGCUAACGUCAAACCGCACGACUAACGGUCUAACGGAAUGACUAGGACCCCUCCCAGUUGAACCCUGUGCUUUAUCUAAACUGAUAUCCGCCCGCCACGGCGGCUAAUAGCUAAUAAGAUCAAGUGAACGCCGAGUUAGACAAAAAUCUAGCUGACAUAUUUCUUAAAACCAAAUGGACAGA
This is a long non-coding RNA of Esox lucius (northern pike), 1162 nucleotides long. The record is from Ensembl. NCBI's taxonomy places the organism in Eukaryota, Metazoa, Chordata, Actinopteri, Esociformes, Esocidae.